RNAcentral lists this ribosomal RNA (382 nucleotides) under uncultured bacterium. Its description in RNAcentral is "bacterial SSU rRNA". It matches the Rfam family "Bacterial small subunit ribosomal RNA", at positions 30 to 416 of the family's 1533-position model. The record is from RNAcentral.
AUUGAACGCUGGCGGAAUGCUUUACACAUGCAAGUCGAACGGCAGCACGGGGCAACCUGGUGGCGAGUGGCGAACGGGUGAGUAAUACAUCGGAACGUGCCCAAUCGUGGGGGAUAACGUAGCGAAAGUUACGCUAAUACCGCAUACGAUCUACGGAUGAAAGCGGGGAUCGCAAGACCUCGCGCGAAUGGAGCGGCCGAUGUCAGAUUAGGUAGUUGGUGGGGUAAAGGCUCACCAAGCCAACGAUCUGUAGCUGGUCUGAGAGGACGACCAGCCACACUGGAACUGAGACACGGUCCAGACUCCUACGGGAGGCAGCAGUGGGAAUUUUGGACAAUGGGCGCAAGCCUGAUCCAGCCAUUCCGCGUGCAGGAUGAAGGCC